GAUGAACGCUGGCGGCGUGCUUAACACAUGCAAGUCGAACGAACCUUCGGGUUAGUGGCGGACGGGUGAGUAACGCGUGAGAAUCUGCCCUCAGGAGGGGGAUAACGGCUGGAAACGGCCGCUAAUACCCCAUAUGCCGCGAGGUGAAACGAGUUUUCGCCUGAGGAUGAGCUCGCGUCUGAUUAGCUAGUUGGUGGGGUAAAGGCCUACCAAGGCGACGAUCAGUAGCUGGUCUGAGAGGAUGAUCAGCCACACUGGGACUGAGACACGGCCCAGACUCCUACGGGAGGCAGCAGUGGGGAAUUUUCCGCAAUGGGCGAAAGCCUGACGGAGCAACGCCGCGUGAGGGAUGAAGGCCUCUGGGCUGUAAACCUCUUUUUUCAAGGAAGAAGAUCUGACGGUACUUGAAGAAUAAGCCACGGCUAAUUCCGUG
RNAcentral lists this ribosomal RNA (433 nucleotides) under uncultured bacterium. RNAcentral describes it as "bacterial SSU rRNA". It matches the Rfam family "Bacterial small subunit ribosomal RNA", at positions 28 to 507 of the family's 1533-position model. The record is from RNAcentral.